Molecule: long non-coding RNA, 1211 nt
Filed under: Pan troglodytes (chimpanzee)
Lineage: Eukaryota; Metazoa; Chordata; Mammalia; Primates; Hominidae
Description: lincRNA
Source: RNAcentral
GGGUAGAGGAAGGCGGGUUCCUGGCUCGGCUCUACCACCAUGGAUCUAGGUGGGCUCAAUGUCAUCACAAGGGUGCUUAAGAGGGAAAGAGGAAGCCAUGAGGGUCAGAGUCAAAGGAAGACUUGAAGAUACUACACUGCGGACUUUACAGAUGAAGGAAGGGGCGAAAACCAAGAAUGUGGGAAGCCUCUAGAAGCUAGAGAAGGCAAGGAAACAAAUUUUCCACUAGAGCCUCCAGAAGGAACACAGCCCUGCUGACCCACUGUAAUGUCUGACCUCUAGAUGUGUAAGGGUAGUAAGACUGAAAGUCUCAGAAAGGCACUGUUACAUUCUUAUUCCACAACUAUGCAACUCGAAACUGGGGUCCUCAGCAGUGAGCGAGGGGUGAGAGAAGACACUGUAUAAACAUGGCACAUCCUCCUGGAAAGUCAACUUUACUCAAAGCUUUAGAAACCCAGCUCAAACUAGCUGAAGCAGAAAAGACACUACUGCGCCUAUAAGUUGAAACUUUGGAGGGAUAAAUUUCAGAGGUGUGGCUAGAUCCAAGGGCUCUCUGGAAAACUCUGUGAAAAAAAUGCUUCCUCAAGUCCAGAAACCAGAAGCUCAGGAAAUUCUUGCUUGGUUCCUCUUGUUAGAGGCAAAGAUUAUUCAACGACCUACAGGGUAGCGUUUGGCUAACAUAAUCUGCCUUCCAAUGGAGUAAGAAUGUCUGUACUCUUUCCUUCACCUACCCCCAAGACAUGGAGGCGUCUAAAAGAUAAAUAAAACUUGGCAACUGACCGAAGGAGGAAGAGGGGAUUUCAGGCAAAAUCAACGCUGUUCACUACGAGGAGAUUUCAGAAAGGUUGCCUGCUUCUGGGGAGCAUAGUCCCUGAUUCCUCAAGACAUACGUUUAUUCUUUUCUUCAAUGUAUUUGCCUGCAGUCAAAACAAAACCAUUACCUUUAGCCAAGUUCAUACAUUUCAGCCAAAUCCAUAUGCAUCGGAUCAGUUCUGUAGGUUAUGGGUGAGCAUGAACAUAUAAAAGAGGCACCUGCCUGUGCCUAUCUACUCCAUGGAGUUUGAAAAGGGGCCACUUAUGGAGAAUGUCUUUAGGGACAGAACCAACCACCCUGUCUUUCCUCCAACUCUCAAAGUAACUUCUGGCUUUAAUCCUCAUGUGUCUAUGCUGGAGUUUAAGAAAAAUGUUUUUCAUAGAAUUCAUGUGUAUGA